CUUCACACGAGGCGUAAACCGCGAUGCUGUUAAAAUUACAAUAUCAGUCUUCAGAGACUGACAUUGCAAAAUUAACAAGCAAAACAAAUGGUACAAUUGAGAAUUUAUUGAUUACAUCACAGGAUCAUAGGCGUGCGCAGCCUAUUGCAUUAGGGUGUGCACCCUAAAGCACAAACACACGCCGCGUGUGUGUGUGUGUGUGUGUAUGUAUAUAUAUAUAUAUAUAUAUAUAUAUAUAUAUAUACAUACACACACACACAUACACUGCUGUGUGUGCUGUUAGUGUGAUGUGUGUGUGAGGGUGCUGUUAGUGUGAUGUGAGGGUGUUUGUGUGUGUGUGUGUAUGUGUUUGUGACUGUGCUGUUUGUGUGUGUAUGUUUGUCCUGUGAGGGUGCUGUUUAUGUGAGUGUCGUGUAUUUGUGAGGGUGCUGUUUGUUUGUGUGUGUGUGUGUGAGGGUGUUGUGAUUUUUUUUUAAAGGUGCUGUGUGUGUUUGUGAGGGUGCGGUUAGUGUACUGUGUGUGUGUGUGAGCUGUAUGUGUGUAGGUGCUGUAUGUGUGUGUGCUGUAUGUUUGGAGGGAUUUGGCAGAUUAGUAAAUCCUUGCUGCCAUGUUCCAUCCCUGGUGGUCCAGUGGAGAGUGAACUCUAGCUUGCGGGGCUAGAGUUAACUCUCGCGAGAUCUGAGCGUUGCCGCAGCAACACUCAGAUAUUGCGAGAGGAACCUGGCGGAGCGUCUGUCUAGAGCUCCCUGGGUCCUCUCCUGCCUCCCUCCAUGCUGCUGUGGGCCGGUGAGGUAGAUCUUUGGUCUCCCCGCUGGCCCAUGGAGGCUUAGAGCAGAGCCGACACUCAGAUAGCGCCGGCUCUGUGUGUGUGUGUGUGUGUGUGUGUGUAUAUAUAUAUAUAUAUAUAUAUAUAUAUAUAUGCGUACACACACACACACUCACAGACACAUUCAGACACACACACAUACAUACACUCACAGACACAUACAUACACUCACAGACACACACACAUUCACAGACACACAAACACUCAGACACACAAACACUCACAGACACACAAACACACACAUUCACAGACACACACACACACUCACACAGACACACACACUCAUACACUGACACACAGACACUCACACACUCACACACAGACACACACAAGAACAAAUUAUUACAUUUUAAUUUAAAAAAAUUCCACCCAGCCUCCUACCUGGAGUGGACUUUUCCCUGGGGUCCAGUGGGGGCGAGCGCCGCUCUCCAGCUCAGCGCGCGGCGAGGGAGCUCUCUGCUCUCUGCUCUCUGCUCCCUCUCGCCGCGCGGGCUGUCUGCUGGAGCUGGGAGCCGGAAUAUGACGUCAUAUUCCGGCUCCCGGCAUCAGCGCGCGGCGAGAGGAAGCAGAGAGCAGAGAGCUCCCUCGCCGCGGCUGAGCUGCAGGGUGGGGGGGGAAUCAUCACCUCUUGCCCUCCCAUGACAGGGGCAAGAGGUGAAACAGGGGGCACUGAGUGCCUGCAGGAACAGCGUUCCUACUCAAAAAAAGUGCAGGAACGCUGUUCCUGCAGGACUCAAACCAUAGGCGUGCCACGGGGAUUAGGGUGUGCCCAGGCACACCCGGCACACCCCGUGCGCACGCCUAUGCACAGGAUGAUGCAGAGCCAAAUGCAUUGAUGAUGCAUUUAUGGUCCAAAGGGGCAUUGCAGUGUCCAUGGAACACUUAAGUUACAUUACAUUUUAUUUGCAUGUCCUUUAACUGGUGCAAGGAAUUGUUAGUAAACCUUGUUAGUACAUGUCAUCAGAUCAGGAAAGGGUUUUGUGGUUAUCAUUCACAUCAUGUGAUAACACUUAGAAAUAUUUUU
Molecule: non-coding RNA, 1850 nt
Organism: Pelobates cultripes (western spadefoot toad)
Lineage: Eukaryota; Metazoa; Chordata; Amphibia; Anura; Pelobatidae
Source: the annotation of a GenBank genome assembly